RNAcentral lists this long non-coding RNA (243 nucleotides) under Homo sapiens (human). RNAcentral describes it as "non-protein coding lnc-PAX4-1:4". Lineage: Eukaryota; Metazoa; Chordata; Mammalia; Primates; Hominidae. The record is from RNAcentral.
CUUCCCCGCUGGCCUCAGGGGCGCACACUUGUAUACCCACCUAGGUGGGCGCCGCUGUACCCGGGAAUGCGGCCUGGGAGGGUGGAGCCACGCAGGCAGAGUCCUGGAGGAAUCUCCGUACCCGCUCCACUCGACUUCCGACAUUUUACCUUGGCUAAAAGAAGGAAAGGGACUUUGAAAUCCUUAAAGAAGACUUUUUUUGUGUGCAAUGGAGAACAAACACAGAAUGUAGUCUGAAGAUGC